CUAAUUGCGUGCGCGAAUGGAUGCUCCUAUUCCUGCCGCCUUUCUAGCAACUAGUUAAUGUUAUGAUGCAUCGUUGGUCCGGCGUACGACGGCGACUGGUGCGAUUUAUGUGUCCGGAAGCCCUUUCAGCCUCCCAGGCAUGUCCCACCUGCCUCACAGCCACCGACGCAUCUCACGGCGGGGUUCUAAUUGCGUGCGCGUAUGGAUGCUUCUUUUCCCGCCGACUUUCUAACAACUAGAAAUGUUAAGAUGUAUAGUUGGUCCGGCGUACGACGGCGCCUGAUGCGAUUUAUGCGUCCGGAAGCCCUUUCAGCCUCCAGGCAUGUCCCCACCUGCCUCACAGCAACCGACGCAUCUCACGGCGGGGAUUGCGUGCGCGUAUGGAUGCUUCUUUCCCCGCCGCCUUUCUAACAACUAGAAAUGUUAUGAUGUAUCGUUGGUCCGGCGUACGACGGCGCCUGGUGCGAUUUAUGCGUCCGGAAGCCCUUUCAGCCUCCCAGGCAUGUCCCACCUGCCUCACAGCCACCGACGCAUCUCACGGCGGGGUUCUAAUUGCGUGCGCGUAUGGAUGCUCCUAUUCCUGCCGCCUUUCUAGCAACUAGUUAAUGUUAUGAUGCAUCGUUGGUCCGGCGUACGACGGCGCCUGGUGCGAUUUAUGCGUCCGGAAGCCCUUUCAGCCUCCCAGGCAUGUCCCCCACCUGCCUCACAGCCACCGACGCAUCUCACGGCGGGGUUCUAAUUGCGUGCGCGUAUGGAUGCUCCUUUCCCCGCCGCCUUUCUAGCAAUUAGAAAUGUUAUGAUGUAUCGUUGGUCCGGCGUACGACGGCGCCUGAUGCGAUUUAUGCGUUCGGAAGCCCUUUCAGCCUCCAGGCAUGUCCCCACCUGCCUCACAGCCACCGACGCAUCUCACGGCGGGGUUCUAAUUGCGUGCGCGUAUGGAUGCUCCUAUUCCCGCCGCCUUUCUAGCAACUAGUUAAUGUUAUGAUUCAUCGUUGGUUCGGCGUACGACGGCGCCUGGUGCGAUUUAUGCGUCCGGAAGCCCUUUCAGCCUCCAGGCAUGUCCCCACCUGCCUCACAGCCGCCGACGCAUCUCACGGCGGGGGUCUAAUUGCGUGCGCGUUCGC
Molecule: long non-coding RNA, 1124 nt
Filed under: Volvox carteri
Lineage: Eukaryota; Viridiplantae; Chlorophyta; Chlorophyceae; Chlamydomonadales; Volvocaceae
Description: long non-coding RNA (VCAR_LNC003448)
Source: RNAcentral